Molecule: transfer RNA, 75 nt
Filed under: Candidatus Pacearchaeota archaeon
Lineage: Archaea; Nanobdellati
Description: tRNA-Arg
Rfam family: tRNA
About the family: Transfer RNA (tRNA) molecules are approximately 80 nucleotides in length. Their secondary structure includes four short double-helical elements and three loops (D, anti-codon, and T loops).
Source: RNAcentral
GCUCCUGUAGCUCAGCCUGGAUAGAGCAGAGGCAUCCUAAGCCUAAGGUCGAGGGUUCAAAUCCUUCCGGGAGCG